AGAGUUUGAUCCUGGCUCAGGAUGAACGCUAGCUACAGGCUUAACACAUGCAAGUCGAGGGGCAGCAUGACGAUAGCUUGCUAUUGUCGAUGGCGACCGGCGCACGGGUGAGUAACGCGUAUCCAACCUUCCCCAUAGUAGGGCAUAGCCCGUAGAAAUGCGGAUUAAUACCCUAUGUUUUCCGAAGCAGACAUCUAAUUUGGAACAAAGGUUCACCGCUAUGGGAUGGGGAUGCGUCUGAUUAGGUUGUUGGCGGGGUAACGGCCCACCAAGCCCUCGAUCAGUAGGGGUUCUGAGAGGAAGGUCCCCCACAUUGGAACUGAGACACGGUCCAAACUCCUACGGGAGGCAGCAGUGAGGAAUAUUGGUCAAUGGCCGAGAGGCUGAACCAGCCAAGUAGCGUGCAGGACGACGGCCCUACGGGUUGUAAACUGCUUUUGCGGGAGGAUAAAGGACGCCACGUGUGGCGUUUUGCAGGUAUCCCGUGAAUAAGGACCGGCUAAUUCCGUGCCAGCAGCCGCGGUAAUACGGAAGGUCCGGGCGUUAUCCGGAUUUAUUGGGUUUAAAGGGAGCGCAGGCGGACUGCUAAGCGUGCCGUGAAAGCGCGGGGCUCAACCCCGUACAGCGGCGCGAACUGGCGGUCUUGGUUGCGGGAAGGGGAGGCGGAACUCGUGGUGUAGCGGUGAAAUGCAUAGAUAUCACGAAGAACUCCGAUCGCGAAGGCAGCCUCCCGGCCCGCCAACGACGCUCAUGCUCGAAGGCGCGGGUAUCAAACAGGAUUAGAUACCCUGGUAGUCCGCGCGGUAAACGAUGAGUGCUCGGGAUUUGCCCCUUGGGGUGAGUCCCCCAGCGAAAGCGUUAAGCACUCCACCUGGGGAGUACGCCGGCAACGGUGAAACUCAAAGGAAUUGACGGGGGCCCGCACAAGCGGAGGAACAUGUGGUUUAAUUCGAUGAUACGCGAGGAACCUUACCCGGGCUUGAAAUGUGCAUGACGACCCUGAGAGACCAGGGUUUCCUUCGGGCAUGCAUGUAGGUGCUGCAUGGUUGUCGUCAGCUCGUGCCGUGAGGUGUCGGCUUAAGUGCCAUAACGAGCGCAACCCCUUCCGCCGGUUACCAUCGGGUCAUGCCGGGGACUCCGGCGGCACUGCCGCCGCAAGGCGCGAGGAAGGCGGGGAUGACAUCAAAUCAGCACGGCCCUUACGUCCGGGGCCACACACGUGUUACAAUGGGGGGCACAGCGAGCUGGACCAGGGCGACCUGGUUCGAAUCAAGAAAUCCCCUCCCAGUUCGGACCGGAGUCUGCAACCCGACUCCGCGAAGCCGGAUUCGCUAGUAAUCGCGCAUCAGCCAUGGCGCGGUGAAUACGUUCCCGGGCCUUGUACACACCGCCCGUCAAGCCAUGAAAGCCUGGGGCGCCUGAAGUCCGUAGCCGUCGAGGCGCGGCCGAGGGCGAUACAGGUGAUUGGGGCUAAGUCGUAACAAGGUAACC
Molecule: ribosomal RNA, 1491 nt
Filed under: uncultured rumen bacterium
Lineage: Bacteria
Description: bacterial SSU rRNA
Rfam family: Bacterial small subunit ribosomal RNA
Source: RNAcentral